GAUAUUUUCAGCUUCUUGUUCUCUCUGCCUUUCUGUGAUGACACUGUACCCGAUCCAUGCAUCAAGAAGAGCUACAUCCAAGGAAACUCAUCCAUGCCUGGACUUAAUUUAUAUAAUGAAAUUCUGAACUUUCAAUAGAUGCUGUAAUAGGAUGAGAGUUUUGGAGAUCUUGGGAGGGAAUGAAUGUGUUUUGCAUGGGGAAGGGACAUGAAUCACUGAAGCCCAGAUGAUGGACAAUGGCUGACAGACUCUAAAAAUGGCCCCAUGAUCUCCACCUCCUGGUAUCCAUACCUCUACAAUCCCUUCCCCUUAUUCAAUAGAGUACAAAAGAAGGAUAGGAUUUCACUUCUGUUAUUACAUUACAUACAACUGUAGUACCUGUCUUGCUGGAAGACUUCCCCUUUCCUGGCUUUAAAGAAAAAAGUUACAAAUUGUGAACAGCUGUCCCCUGUAGAAGCCAUGUUACAAUGAACUGAGGAAAGCCACCGGCCAACAUCCAGCAAGAAUCUGAGGCCCUCAGUCCGCAUUCCUCAAGAAACUGAAUGCUGCUGACAAAAAUACAAGAGGAAGUGGAUCCAUCCCCAAUCAAGCCUCCAGAAAAGAACACGGUCUUGGCCAAAACCUUGAUGGUAACCUUGGAGAAGACUCAGCUAAGCUGUGCCUGGAUUUCUGACUCACUGAAACUGUGGGAUAAUAAAUGUGUGUUAUUUUCAGCCAAUAAAUUUGCAGUAAUGUUAUUAUGCAGCAAAAGUUAACUAAUUUAUUAUCUUUCAGUACCUUAUCCUUGAUUGAUGUUUGUUCUGUAUAAAAUUGCAUACUUAAAAUAUAUAAUUUUUACUCAAAAUUUUGAAAAAUAAUAGUAUCUUCUAACCCAUAAUGUUG
This 882-nucleotide long non-coding RNA is filed under the name Homo sapiens (human). Its description in RNAcentral is "HSALNT0292997". Lineage: Eukaryota; Metazoa; Chordata; Mammalia; Primates; Hominidae. The record is from RNAcentral.